Molecule: ribosomal RNA, 724 nt
Filed under: Aspergillus oryzae
Lineage: Eukaryota; Fungi; Ascomycota; Eurotiomycetes; Eurotiales; Aspergillaceae
Description: eukaryotic LSU rRNA
Rfam family: Eukaryotic small subunit ribosomal RNA (bases 1-173)
Source: RNAcentral
UGUACACACCGCCCGUCGCUACUACCGAUUGAAUGGCUCGGUGAGGCCUUCGGACUGGCCCAGGAGGGUUGGCAACGACCCCCCAGGGCCGGAAAGUUGGUCAAACCCGGUCAUUUAGAGGAAGUAAAAGUCGUAACAAGGUUUCCGUAGGUGAACCUGCGGAAGGAUCAUUACCGAGUGUAGGGUUCCUAGCGAGCCCAACCUCCCACCCGUGUUUACUGUACCUUAGUUGCUUCGGCGGGCCCGCCAUUCAUGGCCGCCGGGGGCUCUCAGCCCCGGGCCCGCGCCCGCCGGAGACACCACGAACUCUGUCUGAUCUAGUGAAGUCUGAGUUGCUUGUAUCGCAAUCAGUUAAAACUUUCAACAAUGGAUCUCUUGGUUCCGGCAUCGAUGAAGAACGCAGCGAAAUGCGAUAACUAGUGUGAAUUGCAGAAUUCCGUGAAUCAUCGAGUCUUUGAACGCACAUUGCGCCCCCUGGUAUUCCGGGGGGCAUGCCUGUCCGAGCGUCAUUGCUGCCCAUCAAGCACGGCUUGUGUGUUGGGUCGUCGUCCCCUCUCCGGGGGGGACGGGCCCCAAAGGCAGCGGCGGCACCGCGUCCGAUCCUCGAGCGUAUGGGGCUUUGUCACCCGCUCUGUAGGCCCGGCCGGCGCUUGCCGAACGCAAAUCAAUCUUUUUCCAGGUUGACCUCGGAUCAGGUAGGGAUACCCGCUGAACUUAAGCAUAU